This is a non-coding RNA of Potamilus streckersoni, 68 nucleotides long. The record is from the annotation of a GenBank genome assembly. NCBI's taxonomy places the organism in Eukaryota, Metazoa, Mollusca, Bivalvia, Unionida, Unionidae.
GGUAGCCUAGUGGUUAUAGCGUCCGCCUCGGAUGCAGUAGGUAGUUGGUUCGAACCCCGUGAGAGUCA